Long non-coding RNA from Bradysia coprophila, 308 nucleotides. The record is from RefSeq and is a predicted model, not a curated record. Lineage: Eukaryota; Metazoa; Arthropoda; Insecta; Diptera; Sciaridae.
GAGUGAUAUCGCCAAAACUUGAACCAAUUUCGGUGAAAAUAAAUACAAUGGUUCGGCGAUCCGGGCAAGCUAUAGCUCGUUUGAAUCGUCUUUCAAUUCUGAGAAAUAGGUAUCAUUUACUUUUUCGGUUAGUUACCCAUUUUCGGAGUGAACAAGUGAAAAGUGAUUGCAUGUCAAAAGGUGGUGAAAACAGUUGUUUUGUGAUAGCUCGAGAUAGUCAUGUUUCUAAAAGUUGAAAUUUUCUAGGAAUGUAGGCCUUUGACAGACCUUCAUGAAAACUAUAAUCAUCGGACUUAUGACAAAAAAUA